Podarcis lilfordi (Lilford's wall lizard) is the source of this 102-nucleotide non-coding RNA. NCBI's taxonomy places the organism in Eukaryota, Metazoa, Chordata, Lepidosauria, Squamata, Lacertidae. The record is from the annotation of a GenBank genome assembly.
UCCAAAUGGCUCAUCUGGUCUCCUCACAGCAGCCCAAAGAAGGGCAGAGCGUUUGACCGCAGAUCAAGAGGCCCCUGGUUCAAAUCCUGACGCCUUUGAGAG